UACGUAGGGUGCAAGCGUUGUCCGGAAUUAUUGGGCGUAAAGAGCUCGUAGGUGGCCUGUCGCGUCGGCUGUGAAAACUCGGGGCUCAACUCCGAGCUUGCAGUCGAUACGGGCAGGCUAGAGUUCGGCAGGGGAGAGUGGAAUUCCUGGUGUAGCGGUGAAAUGCGCAGAUAUCAGGAGGAACACCGGUGGCGAAGGCGGGUCUCUGGGCCGAUACUGACACUGAGGAGCGAAAGCGUGGGGAGCGAACAGG
Molecule: ribosomal RNA, 253 nt
Filed under: uncultured bacterium
Lineage: Bacteria
Description: partial 16S ribosomal RNA
Rfam family: Bacterial small subunit ribosomal RNA
Source: RNAcentral